RNAcentral lists this long non-coding RNA (1646 nucleotides) under Homo sapiens (human). RNAcentral's name for it is "HSALNT0362828". Lineage: Eukaryota; Metazoa; Chordata; Mammalia; Primates; Hominidae. The record is from RNAcentral.
AAGUGAAGAUUGACAUCCAUUAAGGCCAAUGGUAGCUCAAUCUUCUGUUCUCUGACUCCCAAGCUUCCCAUUCUCUUAGGAGGCUGCAUUUGUGGCGCUAAAAAAAGGGAUGGGCGUGGGAGAUUCCAGGACUUGUGCUCGCUGAAGAUACAACUGUUAGUCCAAGCUCCUGUAUCAGCAGUGCUUGCACCUCAUAGGUGAUGAUCAUGAGGGGGACAAGGAGCCUCUAGACUUAAGAGACAAGUUGCCAGCAUUCUCCAGAUGGAGUGUUUCCCUCCGCAGCACCCCCUGCUGGUCAGUUUGACAAGCAGGUGAACAGAAGUUCUCAAAUACACAAUAGUAGAUUCUAUCAAUCAAGUUUCAUAAAGAGUUCUGAUUCCCAGAGGCAUACAGCACCAUUUUCAACAUAAAACAUAAAAACCCAUUCAAAAUGGAGGUGAUGGUAGAUGCCUGGACAGAUUACCAGAUCAUCAUUACUCAGCCUCAGAACCAGGUUGACAGGAGGGCUUGGAUGAAGCAAUAAGAAAGGUUGCAACUUCAAAAUCAGUGCAGAUAGCAGAUUCUGUCAACCACAUUUCAUAAAGAGUUCUGAUUCUAAGAGAGCCAUACACCUGAAGGAGGGAUGGAAAGACUAGGAGAGCCUGGGAUCCUCAGAGAUGGAGAUCUGGAUGUGAAGAGAAAGAGAAAAACAAAAGUCAACAGACAGUACUGUGACCAAGUCAGUGAUGGUGAGAUCAGCAGCAUCUCUAGGACCCUUCUGAUUGACAUGAAGUCACCAUCAAGUAGGCAGAACUCACAGGACUUAUGGAGCAAGGAUGACUGACACAAACACAAAAAUCAUUCUGCCUGUUGAAUGAAUCAUAAAAUACUGUCUUUGAUCCAGGAGGCUUGUGUCAUCUGCCAGCAUUUAUGAAACUGUGCUCCAAGUAGGCUCCUGUAUCAGCAGUGCUUGCCCCUGAUAGAUGAUGAUCAUGGGGGGACCAGGAGCCUCUAGACUUAGAGAACUUUCCCCACCCUCCCUGUGGAGUGUUUCCCUCCCCAGCACCCCCUGCUGGUCAGUUUGACAAACAGAUGAACAGAAGUUCUCAAAUACACACCUUUGUGUUUUUAUUUCAGAUGUGCUUUCUUAUGUACUGACUGUGAUCCCCAAAUUCAUAUGUUGAAGUCCCAACUCCAAAUGUAUUUGGAGGUGGGCCUUUCAGACGUAAUUGAGUUUAGAUGACGUCAUGAGGGUGGAGCCCCCAUGAUGACACUAAGUCCUUCUAAGAAAAGGAAGAGAGUCUGAGCCCUCCUCUACACCAUGUGAGGGCACAGAGAGAGAGCAGCCAUCAACAAGCUGAGAGAGGAGGACUGAGAAUGAAACCUACCUCGCCAGAACCUUGUCAUAUCCCUUCCCGGUUUCCAAACGAGUGAGAAAUCAAUUUCUGUUGUGUAAGCUACUCAGUGUAUGAAACUUUGUUAUGGCAGCCAGAGCAGAUUAAUGCAUGCUUCUUGGACUUUGUUUUUAACUCAAUAUGAAAAACAUAUGUUUUAAUAAAAAAAUUACCCCAUUCAUCUGUAUUGUGUUUACUGAUAAUUUUGGACUUAUUUUUGCCAUAUUUAAGAAAUCCUCCUUCCUCUUUCCCAUGCUUUCUUGUGUUUUUUUA